GGCUUAAUUUGACUCAACGCGGGGAACCUCACCCGGCCCGGACACCGCGAGGAUUGACAGACUGAGAGCUCUUUCUCGAUUCGGUGGGUGGUGGUGCAUGGCCGUUCUUAGUUGGUGGAGCGAUCUGUCUGGUUAAUUCCGAUAACGAACGAGACCCCAACCUGCUAACUAGCCCUCGGGUCCUGCUUCUGUUGGGCCCGACGGAAUGAUUCGCUUCUUAGAGGGACUCGCGGCGCCUAGCCGCACGAAGGGGGGCGAUAA
This 261-nucleotide ribosomal RNA is filed under the name uncultured eukaryote. Its description in RNAcentral is "partial 18S ribosomal RNA". It matches the Rfam family "Eukaryotic small subunit ribosomal RNA", at positions 1187 to 1456 of the family's 1831-position model. The record is from RNAcentral.